RNAcentral lists this ribosomal RNA (253 nucleotides) under uncultured bacterium. RNAcentral's name for it is "partial 16S ribosomal RNA". It matches the Rfam family "Bacterial small subunit ribosomal RNA", at positions 524 to 776 of the family's 1533-position model. The record is from RNAcentral.
UACAGAGGUCUCAAGCGUUGUUCGGAUUCAUUGGGCGUAAAGGGUACGUAGGUGGCAUGGUAAGUCGGAUGUGAAAUCCCGGGGCUCAACCCCGGAACUGCAUUCGAUACUGCUGCGCUAGAGUACUGGAGAGGAGAUUGGAAUUUACGGUGUAGCAGUGAAAUGCGUAGAUAUCGUAAGGAAGACCAGUGGCGAAGGCGGAUCUCUGGACAGUUACUGACACUGAGGCACGAAGGCCAGGGGAGCAAACGGG